CAGCAGCCGCGGUAAUACAGAGGGUGCGAGCGUUAAUCGGAUUUACUGGGCGUAAAGCGUGCGUAGGCGGCUUUUUAAGUCGGAUGUGAAAUCCCUGAGCUUAACUUAGGAAUUGCAUUCGAUACUGGGAAGCUAGAGUAUGGGAGAGGAUGGUAGAAUUCCAGGUGUAGCGGUGAAAUGCGUAGAGAUCUGGAGGAAUACCGAUGGCGAAGGCAGCCAUCUGGCCUAAUACUGACGCUGAGGUACGAAAGCAUGGGGAGCAAACAGGAUUAGAUACCCCCGUAGUCCCUGUCUCUUAUAA
RNAcentral lists this ribosomal RNA (301 nucleotides) under uncultured bacterium. Its description in RNAcentral is "partial 16S ribosomal RNA". It matches the Rfam family "Bacterial small subunit ribosomal RNA", at positions 509 to 809 of the family's 1533-position model. The record is from RNAcentral.